GUAUCAGAAGUGCGAAUGCUGACAUAAGUAACGAUAAAGCGGGUGAAAAGCCCGCUCGCCGGAAGACCAAGGGUUCCUGUCCAACGUUAAUCGGGGCAGGGGGAGUCGACCCCUAAGGCGAGGCCGAAAGGCGUAGUCGAUGGGAAACAGGUUAAUAUUCCUGUACUUGGUGUUACUGCGAAGGGGGGACGGAGAAGGCUAUGUUGGCCGGGCGACGGUUGUCCCGGUUUAAGCGUGUAGGCUGGUUUUCCAGGCAAAUCCGGAAAAUCAAGGCUGAGGCGUGAUGACGAGGCACUACGGUGCUGAAGCAACAAAUGCCCUGCUUCCAGGAAAAGCCUCUAAGCAUCAGGUAACAUCAAAUCGUACCCCAAACCGACACAGGUGGUCAGGUAGAGAAUACCAAGGCGCUUGAGAGAACUCGGGUGAAGGAA
Molecule: ribosomal RNA, 431 nt
Filed under: Escherichia coli
Lineage: Bacteria; Pseudomonadati; Pseudomonadota; Gammaproteobacteria; Enterobacterales; Enterobacteriaceae
Description: bacterial LSU rRNA
Rfam family: Bacterial large subunit ribosomal RNA
Source: RNAcentral